UACGUAGGGGGCAAGCGUUGUCCGGAAUUAUUGGGCGUAAAGAGCGCGUAGGCGGUCCGGUAAGUCGGUUGUGAAAGUCGGGGGCUCAACCCUCGGAUGCCGAUCGAUACUGUCGGGCUAGAGUCCGGAAGAGGCGAGUGGAAUUCCUGGUGUAGCGGUGAAAUGCGCAGAUAUCAGGAGGAACACCAAUGGCGAAGGCAGCUCGCUGGGACGGUACUGACGCUGAUGCGCGACAGCGUGGGGAGCAAACAGG
RNAcentral lists this ribosomal RNA (253 nucleotides) under uncultured bacterium. Its description in RNAcentral is "partial 16S ribosomal RNA". It matches the Rfam family "Bacterial small subunit ribosomal RNA", at positions 524 to 776 of the family's 1533-position model. The record is from RNAcentral.